This 409-nucleotide ribosomal RNA is filed under the name uncultured bacterium. Its description in RNAcentral is "bacterial SSU rRNA". It matches the Rfam family "Bacterial small subunit ribosomal RNA", at positions 355 to 776 of the family's 1533-position model. The record is from RNAcentral.
UGGGGAAUAUUGCGCAAUGGGCGAAAGCCUGACGCAGCGACGCCGCGUGAGGGAUGAAGGCCUUCGGGUUGUAAACCUCUUUCAGCAGGGACGAAGCGCAAGUGACGGUACCUGCAGAAGAAGGACCGGCCAACUACGUGCCAGCAGCCGCGGUAAUACGUAGGGUCCGAGCGUUGUCCGGAAUUAUUGGGCGUAAAGAGCUCGUAGGCGGUCUGUUGCGUCGGUUGUGAAAACCUGGGGCUCAACUCCAGGCCUGCAAUCGAUACGGGCAGACUAGAGUUCGGUAGGGGAGACUGGAAUUCCUGGUGUAGCGGUGAAAUGCGCAGAUAUCAGGAGGAACACCGGUGGCGAAGGCGGGUCUCUGGGCCGAAACUGACGCUGAGGAGCGAAAGCGUGGGGAGCGAACAGG